Molecule: transfer RNA, 64 nt
Filed under: Mesocricetus auratus (golden hamster)
Lineage: Eukaryota; Metazoa; Chordata; Mammalia; Rodentia; Cricetidae
Source: Rfam by way of RNAcentral
AUGUAUCUCACUUGGUAGAGUGCUUGCUUAGCAUGCAAAAAGCCCUGGGUUCAAUCCCAGGCAU